GAUUAGUUAAUAAUAUAAAUAUAAAUUUAUUAGGUGAAAUUUUUAAAUUUAUUUAUUUGUUAUUAAAAAGAAUAAUUUAAGCUAUAAACUUUUUGUAAUAAACUAGGAUUAGAUACCCUAUUAUUGAAAAUAAACAUAAAAAUACUAAAGUAGUAUUAGUUAUAUUCUUAAAAUUUAAAAAAUUUGGCGGUGUUUUAGUCUAUUUAGAGGAAUCUGUCCUGUAAUUGAUAAUCCACAUUGAACCUUACUUAAAUUUGUUUAAUUUGUAUAUCGCCGUCAUCAGAAUAUGUUAUAAGAUAAAAAUUUUCUUAAUAUUUAAUUAAAUAAAAUGUCAGGUCAAGGUGCAGUUUAUGUUUAAGUAGAGAUGGAUUACAAUAAAUUUAUUUAAAUGGAUAAUUUUUUGAAAUAGAAAUUUGAAGGUGGAUUUAAUAGUAAUAUAAAAUAGAUUAUUUGUAUGAUUUUAGCUCUAAAACAUGUACAUAUCGCCCAUCGUUCUUAUUUUUAAAAUAAGAUAAGUUGUAACAUAGUAGAUGUACUGGAAAGUGUAUCUAGAAAGA
RNAcentral lists this ribosomal RNA (557 nucleotides) under Ochlerotatus trivittatus. RNAcentral's name for it is "12S ribosomal RNA". Lineage: Eukaryota; Metazoa; Arthropoda; Insecta; Diptera; Culicidae. The record is from RNAcentral.